GCCGGGCCAGGGCGGUGAGGGAGCACCGAGUGCGUCACGUGCGAGGGGGCGGAGACCGCGUCGGGGGCGGGGCCUGAGCGGAGGGAGGCGGGCCUGGGCGGCGGAGAAACACGUGCCGGCUUGGAGGCGAUCAGAGGGCAACCCGCCUAGGAGGGAAGGGCGAUGCAGAGAGGCACCCGCGCCCCUCGCCGGCCUCGAGCAGGCAGGGCCCACCCCACAGGAAUCAUAUAAAUUAAGUGUGGAAAUACUGUGCGAGGCCAGGGGGUUAGACACCUGUGGAGAAACAAGCACAUAGCGUCCGCAAGCAGGGACAGACCGCGGCGAGCACACCACGUGGCGGCACAGAGGCACGAAGGGAGCAGACAGAGCCAUUUGUGUUGAGCAUGAAAAGCAAGUUGCAGAAGCACGCCUGUGGUGUAAAACAAUUUACACAAAGCUUAAAAUAGCAAACUGAUUAGCCCGUUGUUUAGGGACAAGUACCUACGUGGGUGCUGGAGAAUAGAGAAAACCAAGGGCAUGGUUUACCCAGAACUGGAGGUACUGGUGGGCAACAGAGUGAUCUGCAAUGGGUCCGGGUGUGUGUGGCUGGCUGAGUAACGGCUUGUCACAAUGACGAUGCCCACACCCUGAUCUCUGCAGCCCAUGAAUGUGUCGCCUUAUAUGGCAGAAGAGAUUUUGCAGGACCUUCAGAUGCAUUGUCCAGGUGGGCCCCAAAUGUAAUCACAUUUGAAGAGGGACACAGGAGUGUCAAUGUCCCUGUGGAGACAGACAUUGGAGCAGUGCAGCCAGGAGCCAAGGAAUGUUGGCAGCUUCUAAAAGCUGGAGGAGUCGUGGAACUGAUUCUCUCCUGGAGCUUCCAGAAGGAACUGGUCCUGGCUGGUUAUGGCAGGCACAAGACACCCAAACACAACAGCAAUAGUAAACUAUUACAACAUGCAGAGAGCUUUUGGGGUAAGGUUAUUUCAUGAUAGGGGUGCCUGGGUGGCUCAGUCAGUUAAGUGUCCAACUUCGGCUCAGGUCAUGAUCUCAUGGUUCAGAAGCUGGAGACCCAUGUCAGGCUCUGUGCAGACAGCCCAGAGCCUGGAGCCUGCUUCAGAUUCUGUCUCCUGUCUCUGCCCCUCCCCCACUCACAUUCUGUCUCUGUCUCUCUCAAAGAUAAAUAAACAUUAAACGUUUUUUUAAAAAGGUUAUUUCACGAUAUAUUUCACAAUAAAAUGAUUAGAGAGCCUUCAAAGAAAGUCACCACCCAUCAUCCCCAUUUCUGAAGUGUAAUAUGAAGUAAUGAUGAAAUUCUAGAAUAAGAACUCAAGACCAGCAGACCAUGCUGAUGGGAUUGGAGCUUUGAGGCACCCCCCCACUCCAGCCCCCAUGCAGAAUCAGGAAGUGAGCCUCUACCAGGCAGAGACUGUGCCUGUCUUCCUGUCACUUCAAAGGGCACGGGGAAGAGUGCCAGAGACACUGGCACACACAGCGGGCACAGUGGGCUCCGUGGGACACGACACCUCUCUGGUUGAUGGGGGCAGGACGGAAGUAAGGGCCACAGGAACAGAACAGAUUGGAAAGGGGCAGUGUCUGAGGCAGCCAGAGACCAGACAGCCCAUCCUGCUUGCCAAUGACAGUGUUAAUCUUGCCCUGUUUUCCCACCUUCUAGAUGGAAAUUACUAAAAUAGGCCUCUCAGAAUCACCCCUGCUCCCUGAGAGCACCCAAUGCAGAACAAAGUGGGUUUCCUCCGAUGCCCCCCAGUCACCUCGCACAAGGGAGGAUGUGAAGGGAAAAGAGCCCCGUUUGGCUUGGUGUGGCCCUGCCACCAGGGCCCACUCCAGUGUCCCACCACCUUCCACUGCCUCAGGGACACACACCUUUCAUUUGCAAGCUCGCUCUUCAGAAGGGAGAGGGGCUUCAUUCAGCCUGGACCUCUCCCUACACCCCUCCUGGCCGCCAGUGUGGGGAGGAGAUGCCCACCUCAGUCCACCUGUGCUAGGACACUAAGUCCCCUCCGGCACUGCUCGUGAAGAUGCCCGGCUCCCUCCUUGCAGAGUCAGUGCAUUCCUGGCGGCCUUUGUCUUCCUCUCCACGAAGACUCGGACGCUUCCCCCAAUUGUUAUCAUGGGGAAACAGAGGGAAAGAAGCAAUGUUUUACUCUUGAGUUCCAGACCGAUGCAGGGAGGGGACGGUAGUAUUAAAAGCCAAAACUUUAUUGUCAGGAGCCAGCUUUUUUUUUGAGAAGAGAGGCGUGUGAGAAUCCAAAGAUUUAAAGAAAGCGGCACAGACCCAAAUUUUCCAUCAAAGCUAGAACGCAUGGGGCCAGGCAGGUUGGGGAAAGAGAGUCCGAGGUGAGGGGAGGCAGGGCCAGCCCAGGAUACAGUUCAACCUCUGCACAGGGGGCUCCAGACUCUCACACCAGGGUAGGGAACCUCGUCAGGCACCUGCCAGCCUGCUUACAGGAAGCUGCUCCGUUACCUACCACUGACCCAUCUGCCCACCACCUGGUAGACGUGCCCCACGCCCCACAGCCAUCCUGCUCUGAGAGCUUUGUCCAAUUACUCUGGCCAACAGCCCUCAAUAGCUCAGCACAGUGAGAACACUCCCAGAAGAUGCUGGGAACCAGGGAAAAAGUAAGACCCUGAGAACACAGGCAUUGCUGGAAGGGAACAGAGUGAGCACAGCAUCCCAACCUGCUGGCCGCCAGCCCUCCCAGCUGGGGCACCGUGCUUCCGACCCUCAUAGGAGCUGGACGGCCUCCCUCACCACCACCCCCCCCCACCCCCGCUCCCCUAGCACAGGCAGCUUCAAUGCUGCUUCUUGAAUUCACACUUGUUUAAAGAAGAGGUUCUCCAGCAAAGGGUGCUGUCUCCGUCUCCUCGGCAGACCCAUGUGAUCAGGCCUGUGAUUGACAUUUUUUCCACAUUCAGUAUUUGCUUGGAUAGUUCCUCGUCAAAGCCGUGAGUUCUCGGUCUGGGAAAUUAGUCUGCAUUGCAAUAGUUCUCACAGGGCAAUUGAAGACAUAAUUGUACAUAAUCUAUUUUGAAUCUAGAUGCUUAAAAAGAGAAUUACAAACAUCUGGGGCAUCAUUUGGCAUUCCUGUUUGUACUUUGGGUGGAUUUUGCCAGCGAUAGGGCCAUGGGAGAAAAUGACAAUGUUUGAGAGCAGUUUUUCUAGGGUUCAGUUUACACUUGAUUAUGUUUUCGGCACAUUCCCACCAAAACAUGCAUGCUUUACUUACAUUCCGUACUUCAGUUUAUUUGUUUCUCUUUCAUAGAAAUGCCACUUCGAUUUGCUAUAGCACUUUCUGCAGUGAAGUAUAACUUGUGUAAAGUGUCCUGGGGCCACCAUAACAAAGUGCCCCACAACGGGGGAGCUUCACACAGCAGAGAUUUGUCCUCUCUCAGUUCUGGGGCCAGAGUCUGAGAUCCAGGUGUGGGUGCUCCUGCAGGGGCUCUGGGGGCUCCUUCCUGCCUCUGCCAGCUUCUGGGAACUCCAGGCGUCCUUUGUCCGCCCCCAGGAGGCCUGUGUGCUUUGGAAACCCCUUGGAAGAGCUCGGGGUCACCGAGGCUUCAGGACCCUCGUUAUAUUCCUUCUAGGACAUUAGUGGUGGUCCUAAGGAGUGCUUCGAUUGAAUGGAGGAGAAAAGAGCCCUGUUUGGCCUGGUGUGACCCUAUCACCAGGGGACCCAUUCCAGGAUCCUACCACCUUCCACUGCCUCCAGGACACGCACGUUUCGUUCUCAAGAAGCGCUGUCUUCAGAAGGGAGAGGGGCUUCAUUCAGCCUGGACCUCUCCCUACACCCCUCCUGGCUGCCAGCGUGGGGAGGAGAUGCCCACCUUGGCCCACCACAGAGUCCCUGGAAUUUGCACUCACGACACACGUCACCGUUCUUAUAAAAGCAGUCCUAUUAAGCAAAGGCCGUGCUGCAGCCACGACGAAUAUGUGGACAGAUUACUCAGUGGAAAACGGUGACAGCGACUAUGUCACCACAAAGCAGAUGAAAUAAGAACACAGGUCUGGGGCGCCUGGGUGGCACAGUCGGUUAAGCGUCCGGCUCUUGAUCUCGGCUCAGGACAUGAUCUCACAAUUUGUGGGAUCGAGCCCCGCGUCAGGCUCUGUGCUGAUGGCUCAGAGCCUGCUUGGGAUCCUGUCUCUCCUUCUCUCUGCCCCUCCCCCACUUGUGCACAGUCUCUGUCUCGCUCUCUCUCAAAGUAAAUAAAUAAAUAAACUAAAAUUUAAAAAAAAGAGCACGGGUCUUUGGAUGUAUUAACACAGAGGGAUCUGGUGUUGACAACACUCUGUGCACUUCUCUGUCUCAAGCUCCCCUCUUUGAAAGCGGAUCACUCCUAACAUGAUACGCUCUUCCCAAAACCACCAGCGGUGGGGGGCCAGGGGGAAGGGUGUGGGCAAAGCCUGGCGUCUGAGCGCCUGGCAAAUGUGGCCCUCGGGUGCUGCAUCCCUGCAGGCUCAGGGGCCCUGCUCCGCGUGGGGAGGUGCUGGCUCCUUCUCGUCACACACGCCUCUGCCUACGCACACACUUCAGAAGUGCCUCUCGUGAACUUUCCGACAAAACUGUUCACAGUGACUUCUAAUUAACUGCAUUCACUCCCUGGGAAUGGACGCGGCUGCCUCGGGUGGGUCCUGGGAGGCGGGCCGGGGGGCCGGGGGCUGGAGGACGGCCUGGCGGGUGCCUACCCUUGCUGGGCCUCCAGAGUCGGUCCAUCCCGUGCCGCAGCAGCACGGUCCUGGCCAGCUCCGUGAAGGACUCGGUGAUGUUGAAGUUGCACAGAGGGCUGACCUCGAAGAAGGUGACACCCAGGCGCGCUGCGUAGGCCUGGGCCUGCUCCGUGGGGACUUGCCGCUUGAAGGCCAGAUGCAGGCGGUUUCCCACCAGGAUUUUAGGGACACCAGGGGCAUGCUGAAGGGUGA
Molecule: long non-coding RNA, 4915 nt
Organism: Acinonyx jubatus (cheetah)
Lineage: Eukaryota; Metazoa; Chordata; Mammalia; Carnivora; Felidae
Exons: 4
Source: RefSeq, a predicted model, not a curated record